This is a long non-coding RNA of Gallus gallus (chicken), 373 nucleotides long. The record is from Ensembl. Lineage: Eukaryota; Metazoa; Chordata; Aves; Galliformes; Phasianidae.
GCUGAGGAAUUUAAAGCAAAUCCUGACCUGCUUUAACAGAUCCCAAAGCACUCCAUGAACCACAUACGGUAGUGACUUCUGCCUCUGCUGAAAUAUGGACAACAGCAUGAAACAUGCCAACUCUUCUAAGUUCAAGAAACGGCACCGCUGCAAAGCAUCUUGGGACAAAGGCAGAGACAGUUUAGGCUCAUUUCCUCUCAUCCUGCCAGUCGGCACCACUGAGGGGAGGAUGGUUCUGUAUAUGGAGCUCUACAGCAGAAACAGAAUCUGCCUUCCAUCCUGGGAGAUCACUGAAAAUUUCCAUGGAAAUAAUCUUAUUUUCUGUUGCAGUAUGUGGGUGUUAGAUGUGAUUUACAGAAGCAUCAGUUCACAG